CCCCCCCCCCUCCACCUAUCUGAGUUAGUUUAGUUCUCAUUUGCCUUUUCUCGCAAAAAAAUGGAUGUAUGGAAUCUGAGAUCUGGACCUCAUGUUCACUGAUUUUGGACCCAAGUUUUGUUGAGAGAGCCGCUAGUGGUUUCUUUGGUCCGGGACGUCAGGUUACAAAUAGCAGGGAUGUGCGGAAGGUACCUAUCACACUAAUUAUCUUCAAAUUGGAAGUUCUGGUCAGUGCAGGGUAUUAUCACCUCAUGCCAUUGUCCAUUGUACUCUUAUAGUUCAGAUUUCAUUUCUAAUGCCCUUUGUGUGGAGCUACUUUUCUGUUGAUUUUCAUAUUUCCUGAUUAGCACAUAUGUCAUGACACAUCUUUUACUACCGCAGGUCGUUAGAUUUAGUUUGUCUGAAGUAUCAUAGAAUCUUGUCCCUUCUUAAUCUAGAUGGCUGAUGCUCUUUCACACGCUUGUUUCCCUUAAAUCUGAUCUUUGGAUUGAUUUCACCAAAAGCAAUUAAUGGGCAGGUCUGUUCAAUGUUGAAAUCAUCCAGAAAAUUUUACUCUUUAUUUUGCAUUUUGUGGCUUCUUAAUUAGGCAAACUGUCCUUCAGCAACGGGAGCUUGCACUUAAUAUGGGAUACUCCAAAUCCAAAUGAGCACACUAUUAUAGCGAAGACCAUCUCAGGAUUAGAUGACUUCACAAAAGUAAUUGGCCAGUACAGAGGAAUUGUUCCACAAAUUCAUUUGGUUCGCUGGCUAGUGUAUAAUCAAUUUUCUGUAGCCCUCAAAUAAAACAUGCUAACAAUCAUUUUGUAUAGAUUAAUGAGUUUAUUUUGAGGAGCGCCAUGCCAUCUUUCUCGCGUCGGCAAUCAUCUCCCUGUGCCUUCCCAUAGUGAUGCUUAGCCGCUGUCUGUCUAUAGUGUUCCACCAGUGGUGAGAGCAGGAAGGAAGAGGAGGCAGAAAGGGAGAUGGGUAGGGAAAGGACAAAGGAUGCUAUGUAGUCUCUUUGAUGUGAUGCCACAAUUUUCUUUUUUCUUUGGCUAUUAAGUAAAGGUUGUGUGCUCUCUUUGGAUCUCAUGCCACCAUUUUUUGCUACCAAGUAGUGAUGCUUGCAUAGUUUCCUUAUGUCAUAUAUGACCUUUUGCUUUAUUGUAUUAUUUAGUUCAUGUAAGGUGCAGAUUUCCAGAAAUACCAAGGAUUGGGAGAUGCAUAUUUAGCCCAAAAACUGUUAUCUACACACCAUUUAACUUUUUUCCGCUUCUAGGAGAUGAUGUUGUUCUGAACAUAUUGAUCGCAUUAUGUAAUUGUACUCUGCUUUUCUGCGGAUGACAUCACCUCGUUAUAAGUUAAAUUUUGGCAAAAUAUGCUAAUUAUUAAUGUGCUCUGUACUUUGUGUUUCACAAACUGUUAUGCACAUCAACCCUUUUUUGCUCAGUCAAAUGUAAGCUAUGGUAGCAGCUAAAACUAUCUAGCUUUUAGCUCAGUUUACUUUCUGAUUGCAUAAUUAAUAUUUCCAUUACAUGACUGACUAGGUUCUCAACUAAUCUAUGCUUCUAAUAAAAAUGGAAAAAAUACUCACAUUCUGGUUGUUUUUAAUUUACUGGUUUUUAAAAAUUCAUGCAUUUCUUGAUUCCUUGGAACUCAUUGACAUAGUUGUAGCGCCAUAUAAAGAAAUUGUGGGAGCGGGACGGGGGAUCUGCUCCGGGUGGUGCGGGACACACUGCUAUCGCUCGUGCAGCAGAACAGCAGGCCGCAACGACUCGUCUGGAGAGAGCAGCGUCGACCUGAUCUUGUGGAGGGCAGAGUCGAACCAGAACAUGUAUCAAGGGACCAUGACAUAUCUAGCAUCGGUAUCUGAAGAUGGCAAGAUCUGGUCAUGGCAUCUGACUUUUGACAAGUCAGUAUCUUCCAAGAUAAUUUAUCCCGCUAGGCCUCUUCGCGUGGUUCGUGCAGCGCUGGGCCAUGCCAUUCUCCAAUUGGGUGCCCCUCGUGGCCGUCGCUGGGCGACCAUUCAGUAUGGGAGGUUUAAACAGAAGAUGGUUGUAUAAGAUUUGAACAAAAGAUGGAAGCACCUUAUACUGAACACAACAUGAGCGACGGAGCCUGCAUAUCAUGAGGUCGAGGACUACGAUCGACAUGGAUAGGGCUCGUCAUGCGGCGCCGUCCUCCUGACCUCCUUCCCAUCAUAGCCUUAUGGGAAUUGGCUUACGAAGUGAUUCUAUACUUUAAAUUAUAUCCUUUCUUAAUAUAUGUGCUUGUCCAUUCAGGUUUAUCUUCGCUUGGAAUUGGUGGAAGCGAUUUUAUCCCCAAUUUUUUUUCUCUAUAUUCUGAUUUGUAAGCAACAAAAGUGGUGUCAAUAAUAUGUGAUACUUGUGCAUUUCAAGCUUCAGGCAGGACUUCCUUUUCACAACAAUAGAUGAAAAUGCUCCUAUUGUACCUCCGCUUUUGUGUUGCAUGUGUUGCUUUUGAACCAUUGUCAUUUAUGUCGCCAGUCAUGUAAACUAUAAGGACAUAUUAAUAUCUAUGACCCGUAAGGCUGAUUCAUGGUAUGAGUGUGUUGCAUUACCACUGUUCUCUUAUUACCGACCAUGUAAUAACAUUGUGAACUACACCCAACAAUGUGAAAUGGGCGCCUACCACCUGGCACCGUCCAACUUUGUCUCAGGCGGCGUCACCGGGUGACGCUCCAACCACUAGUCCUCACAAGACUGAAACAGGUAGAGACUCCCACGGCUGGCCGACCGGCCGCAUCAUUAGAGAGCGAAGAGGCUCUUGUCGUCGGGGCCAAGGGCCACGGCCGCAUCGAGCCCUAAGGCCGAUGCAUCGCACGGGAGGGAGCCGCGCACCGCAUCCAUCGCCAUUGACAGCCACGCCGGGGACGGAGGCGUGCUCCGAGCGGCGCAGCGGUGGAGAAGGCGAGACCGGCCGGUGACCAAGUCCCGGCGCGGCGGGGGCGGAGGAGGCACAGCCUGGCGCGGGCAGCGGCCGGCCACUGCCUGGCGCGGGCAUAGCACGGUGCGCUGCCGGUCGCGGGGCGCGGCGCAACAGGGACGAAGCCGCUGGAGCCGGCUUGGUCCAGCGGGGACUGAAGCCAGGCGAUGCCACUUGCGAUGGAUGCCUUCGUCCGCCGUCCAGUGUCAAGGCAAGAUUAUGUUCGUGGUCGUUGGCCGAUGCGGAACGGGGCGCUGUGCCGUGAACAGGUUGUGGCCAUGUACGGCGCGAGGCUGCCGCUCGGAAGUGCUUCCGCCGGGCCGAGAGCCACUGCGGUAGCGGGCGUCACCACGGCGAACCAAGGGCUGUAGCCGUCGAACUCGCAGGCGAUGCAGUAGCCAGGAACCGUCGCGUCGAUGGAAUUGCUCCGCUGGGAGCGUGCUGAUAACGUAUUGAAAUAAAGAUCGAGAGAUAAUAAAAUGAAGCAAGUAGUCUUUAUCGAUAGUGUUGGAUCCUCUAUAUACAACAUGUACAGAAGACGACGGUUCCAAGAGCCGACGCUCCAGGGAGAAACCGUUGCGACGGUUCCCACGUCGUGCGAUUACAUGCACGGAGAGAGCGGGGAUCAUCCCCUAAUUAGGGCAUGUAUAAUAAUGCUGUCUUAGAAGUGUCAUGUAGGAUAAAUGAUAAGGUGAAGGAGAGAGAACUCGUAAGAAAAAGUUUGUCUUCU
Triticum urartu is the source of this 3652-nucleotide non-coding RNA. NCBI's taxonomy places the organism in Eukaryota, Viridiplantae, Streptophyta, Magnoliopsida, Poales, Poaceae. The record is from RefSeq and is a predicted model, not a curated record.